This 488-nucleotide ribosomal RNA is filed under the name uncultured bacterium. Its description in RNAcentral is "bacterial SSU rRNA". It matches the Rfam family "Bacterial small subunit ribosomal RNA", at positions 28 to 507 of the family's 1533-position model. The record is from RNAcentral.
GACGAACGCUGGCGGCGUGCUUAACACAUGCAAGUCGAACGAAAGGACGGGAAGAGCUUGCUCUUUCCGGAAUUGAGUGGCAAACGGGUGAGUAACACGUAAACAACCUGCCUUCAGGAUGGGGACAACAGACGGAAACGACUGCUAAUACCGAAUAAGUUCCAAGAGCCGCAUGGCCCAUGGAAGAAAAGGUGGCCUCUACCUGUAAGCUAUCGCCUGAAGAGGGGUUUGCGUCUGAUUAGCUGGUUGGAGGGGUAACGGCCCACCAAGGCGACGAUCAGUAGCCGGUCUGAGAGGAUGAACGGCCACACUGGAACUGAGACACGGCCCAAACUCCUACGGGAGGCAGCAGUGGGGAAUAUUGCACAAUGGGGGAAACCCUGAUGCAGCGACGCCGCGUGAGUGAAGAAGUAUUUCGGUAUGUAAAGCUCUAUCAGCAGGGAAGAAAGUGACGGUACCUGAAUAAGAAGCCCCGGACUAACUACGUG